UUAAGCGACUAAGCGUACACGGUGGAUGCCCUGGCAGUCAGAGGCGAUGAAGGACGUGCUAAUCUGCGAAAAGCGUCGGUAAGGUGAUAUGAACCGUUAUAACCGGCGAUGUCCGAAUGGGGAAACCCAGUGCAAUUCGUUGCACUAUCGUUAACUGAAUACAUAGGUUAACGAGGCGAACCGGGGGAACUGAAACAUCUAAGUACCCCGAGGAAAAGAAAUCAACCGAGAUUCCCCCAGUAGCGGCGAGCGAACGGGGAGCAGCCCAGAGUCUGAAUCAGCUUGUGUGUUAGUGGAACGGUCUGGAAAGUCCGACGGUACAGGGUGAUAGUCCCGUACACCAAAAUGCACAGGCUGUGAACUCGAAGAGUAGGGCGGGACACGUGGUAUCCUGUCUGAAUAUGGGGGGACCAUCCUCCAAGGCUAAAUACUCCUGACUGACCGAUAGUGAACCAGUACCGUGAGGGAAAGGCGAAAAGAACCCCGGCGAGGGGAGUGAAAAAGAACCUGAAACCGUGUACGUACAAGCAGUGGGAGCACCUUUAUGGUGUGACUGCGUACCUUUUGUAUAAUGGGUCAGCGACUUAUAUUCUGUAGCAAGGUUAACCGUAUAGGGGAGCCGCAGGGAAACCGAGUCUUAACUGGGCGUUAAGUUGCAGGGUAUAGACCCGAAACCCGGUGAUCUAGCCAUGGGCAGGUUGAAGGUUGGGUAACACUAACUGGAGGACCGAACCGACUAAUGUUGAAAAAUUAGCGGAUGACUUGUGGCUGGGGGUGAAAGGCCAAUCAAACCGGGAGAUAGCUGGUUCUCCCCGAAAGCUAUUUAGGUAGCGCCUCGUGAACUCAUCUUCGGGGGUAGAGCACUGUUUCGGCUAGGGGGUCAUCCCGACUUACCAACCCGAUGCAAACUACGAAUACCGAAGAAUGUUAUCACGGGAGACACACGGCGGGUGCUAACGUCCGUCGUGAAGAGGGAAACAACCCAGACCGCCAGCUAAGGUCCCAAAGUCAUGGUUAAGUGGGAAACGAUGUGGGAAGGCACAGACAGCCAGGAUGUUGGCUUAGAAGCAGCCAUCAUUUAAAGAAAGCGUAAUAGCUCACUGGUCGAGUCGGCCUGCGCGGAAGAUGUAACGGGGCUAAACCAUGCACCGAAGCUGCGGCAGCGACACUAUGUGUUGUUGGGUAGGGGAGCGUUCUGUAAGCCUGCGAAGGUGGCCUGUGAGGGUUGCUGGAGGUAUCAGAAGUGCGAAUGCUGACAUAAGUAACGAUAAAGCGGGUGAAAAGCCCGCUCGCCGGAAGACCAAGGGUUCCUGUCCAACGUUAAUCGGGGCAGGGUGAGUCGACCCCUAAGGCGAGGCCGAAAGGCGUAGUCGAUGGGAAACAGGUUAAUAUUCCUGUACUUGGUGUUACUGCGAAGGGGGGACGGAGAAGGCUAUGUUAGCCGGGCGACGGUUGUCCCGGUUUAAGCAUGUAGGCUGGUUAUCCAGGCAAAUCCGGAUAAUCAAGGCUGAGGUGUGAUGACGAGGCACUACGGUGCUGAAGUAACAAAUGCCCUGCUUCCAGGAAAAGCCUCUAAGCAUCAGGUAACAUCAAAUCGUACCCCAAACCGACACAGGUGGUCAGGUAGAGAAUACCAAGGCGCUUGAGAGAACUCGGGUGAAGGAACUAGGCAAAAUGGUGCCGUAACUUCGGGAGAAGGCACGCUGGUGUGUAGGUGAAGUCCCUGCGGAUGGAGCUGAGACCAGUCGAAGAUACCAGCUGGCUGCAACUGUUUAUUAAAAACACAGCACUGUGCAAACACGAAAGUGGACGUAUACGGUGUGACGCCUGCCCGGUGCCGGAAGGUUAAUUGAUGGGGUUAUCCGUAAGGAGAAGCUCUUGAUCGAAGCCCCGGUAAACGGCGGCCGUAACUAUAACGGUCCUAAGGUAGCGAAAUUCCUUGUCGGGUAAGUUCCGACCUGCACGAAUGGCGUAAUGAUGGCCAGGCUGUCUCCACCCGAGACUCAGUGAAAUUGAACUCGCUGUGAAGAUGCAGUGUACCCGCGGCAAGACGGAAAGACCCCGUGAACCUUUACUAUAGCUUGACACUGAACAUUGAGCCUUGAUGUGUAGGAUAGGUGGGAGGCUUUGAAGCGUGGACGCCAGUCUGCGUGGAGCCAACCUUGAAAUACCACCCUUUAAUGUUUGAUGUUCUAACGUUGGCCCCUUAUCGGGGUUGCGGACAGUGUCUGGUGGGUAGUUUGACUGGGGCGGUCUCCUCCCAAAGCGUAACGGAGGAGCACGAAGGUUAGCUAAUCCUGGUCGGACAUCAGGAGGUUAGUGCAAUGGCAUAAGCUAGCUUGACUGCGAGCGUGACGGCGCGAGCAGGUGCGAAAGCAGGUCAUAGUGAUCCGGUGGUUCUGAAUGGAAGGGCCAUCGCUCAACGGAUAAAAGGUACUCCGGGGAUAACAGGCUGAUACCGCCCAAGAGUUCAUAUCGACGGCGGUGUUUGGCACCUCGAUGUCGGCUCAUCACAUCCUGGGGCUGAAGUAGGUCCCAAGGGUAUGGCUGUUCGCCAUUUAAAGUGGUACGCGAGCUGGGUUUAGAACGUCGUGAGACAGUUCGGUCCCUAUCUGCCGUGGGCGCUGGAGAAUUGAGGGGGGCUGCUCCUAGUACGAGAGGACCGGAGUGGACGCAUCACUGGUGUUCGGGUUGUCAUGCCAAUGGCACUGCCCGGUAGCUAAAUGCGGAAGAGAUAAGUGCUGAAAGCAUCUAAGCACGAAACUUGCCCCGAGAUGAGUUCUCCCUGAGACUUUAAGUCUCCUGAAGGAACGUU
This 2815-nucleotide ribosomal RNA is filed under the name human gut metagenome. RNAcentral describes it as "bacterial LSU rRNA". It matches the Rfam family "Bacterial large subunit ribosomal RNA". The record is from RNAcentral.